Molecule: long non-coding RNA, 361 nt
Organism: Homo sapiens (human)
Lineage: Eukaryota; Metazoa; Chordata; Mammalia; Primates; Hominidae
Source: Ensembl
GGGAAGACGUAGUUAGAUGGCGAAUGGAAAACAUCAGGCCCUGGGCCUCAUGCUUAAGUGGUCAAUAUUUGGAGCGCUGUGAUUAUGAACCUUAUAUAUUACCUGGAAAAAGAAGACGGAGUCUCACUCUGCUGCCCAGGCUGGAGUGCAGUGGCACUAUCUCCGCCUCCAGGGUACAAGCAAUUCUCCUGCCUCAGCCUCCAGGGUGUACCAGAAGUAACCAGUGGAAGGGGAAUCCUCUAGGGGGAAUUUAAACUCCCAAAAAUUCUGUAACAGGGCUUUUGAACCCAUAUGCUUGGGCCCGCUCCCACACUGUUUAGUGUAUGUUCGUUUUCAAUAAAUCCCUUCAUUCCUUCCUUGC